GCCUGAAUGGUGGAAUAGGUAGACACGUGGGACUUAAAAUCCCAUGGUUUUUAGAGCCGUGCCGGUUCAAGUCCGGCUUCAGGUACCA
This 88-nucleotide transfer RNA is filed under the name Candidatus Phytoplasma pruni. RNAcentral's name for it is "tRNA-Leu". It matches the Rfam family "tRNA". Rfam says of the family: Transfer RNA (tRNA) molecules are approximately 80 nucleotides in length. The record is from RNAcentral. Lineage: Bacteria; Bacillati; Mycoplasmatota; Mollicutes; Acholeplasmatales; Acholeplasmataceae.